RNAcentral lists this unclassified non-coding RNA (845 nucleotides) under Hevea brasiliensis (rubber tree). Lineage: Eukaryota; Viridiplantae; Streptophyta; Magnoliopsida; Malpighiales; Euphorbiaceae. The record is from RNAcentral.
UAUUCACCCUAUAGAUUUGAAUCGAUGGGAUGGAAAAUUGAACUGAAUAGUAAGAUUCGAAUUGAGAAUCGUACGAUUCUAACAACAGUGUUGCUGACCCACUAGAUUUCUUCUAUAUCUGUUAACUUUUUUCUGUUUUGGAACAAUAACUAGUGUAGUUAAUAUACAUACAUGAUGUAAAAUCUGAAUUCAUCUUUUGGCAUAUGAAUGGUAAAAAGAGAAAUAGAACAGAAAAUUGUUCUAAUUUUAAGUGAUGGUUAAUCUAUUGCUUUGGAAUCCUCAACCGGCCUACCUUGAGCUGGAAAAAGAGUUCUGGACCCAGAAAACUGAACAGCUCUUUGAAGUAAAUGAUUGAUGCAAUUUUUGAAGUAGAUGAUGGUGAUCAAAGGCCUUCUGUUUGUGAGUCCUGUGUUUCACCAACAGGAAAACAGUGGUGGUUCUUUUGUUGUGUGGAAAAAGGGAAGGCAUCACUUGAAUUAUCUCUAUGUGGGUUUAUUGCAUGUGUAGUCAUUUACAUAUUUUUGUUUUAACGUAAUAUAUAUAUAUACAAUCAAUUGGGUAUAUUUGUAUAUUCCAUUUAAUAUCUUUCUGUACUUAUUUUGAGGAGGUUGAAGGACAAUGAAAGGGAAACUGGCUUUAGUUGUUACUCUAGGCUCCAAGAGCAGAGUUUUAUUCUUGAUUCUAUUGGUCUGCUUUGAAGUUUGCUAACUGAUGUCUCAUACUGUAUUUGCUUAUGAUGUUUCUAUGAACUCUCUUUGUGAAUAUUUAUUCCAAGUUAACAUUUACUCUUUUUCAAGUAAUAUCUUGUUUGGUUCACAAUGCAGGAAACGCCUUUUCAACAUGAU